RNAcentral lists this small RNA (160 nucleotides) under Sphenodon punctatus (tuatara). Its description in RNAcentral is "TUC338 (ENSSPUG00000006760.1)". Lineage: Eukaryota; Metazoa; Chordata; Lepidosauria; Sphenodontia; Sphenodontidae. The record is from RNAcentral.
CUGACAGCCCUGGAGACUGAAGUCCUCUGCUUAUGUAUGGUUUCCAGCAGAAACAGCAGCAGUGCAAGCAAGCCCUUCCACUGUGCCUCAGCCUUGACCUCCCACUUCCUUGUAGAAGAGGACACUUCAGUUUCCAAUGCCGAUUCAGUCUUUAGUUUCA